ACCUGGAUCAAUGGGCUGCCCUAAUGAAGGAUAUCAAAAAUGAAGGGGCAGCUAAAGAAAAAUAAAAGACACCUCAGAAAGUAGCCUGCCUCUUUGACAAGGGACAUGCCUUCAGAGGAACAUAACAGAAACCUCUGAGAAUUGUCAACAAUAAAAAGACUGAGCAACAAGGGAAACUGGUAGGAAGCCAAAGGUUUUAAGAGGUGAGAGUGGAGAAAUGCUGUGCUUUUAUUGAUCCUCUCCAAAGGAACACCUUUAAAAAAGGAACACAAGAGCUAAAUGAAUGGAUAUAUUUUUCAAAAUCAAUAAAGAAAAAAUUGCAUAUUUGUAUUAGACUCAAGGAAAGACAUAAUGGCUGUGGAUUUUUAAAGCUCAGGAUGUACACUGUCAGUGCUGCUCAGAUACCAGAAGAAUGGGAGGGCCGUUUCAGAUAAGGUAGUCAGCAAAGUUCUCUCUGAGGUGACAUCCAAGUUGAAGUACAUUAAGAAGGUAGCCAAAUGAUAUUCAGAGGAAGAGCAUUCUAAGCAUAUGGGAAGGAGCAUGCCUGGUGUGUUCAAAAAAAAGCAAGGAGCAGAGUGAGCUAAAGUAAAGAAAUAGAAGAUAACGUGGCCAGAGAAAUAGUGACGGGGCAGAUCAAGGGAGAUUAUGGACCAUGAUAAGAACUUUGAAUGUUAUUUAUUAUUUUAUUAAAUUGUAUUUAUUUAUAAGAACUUUGAAUUUGUUUUUAUUCUGAGUGAAAUGAGAAACCCCUGGAAAAUUCUCAACAAAGAAGUGAUAACAUGUAACUUGACUUUUUACAAACAUUACUCUGGUUGCUAUUUUGAAAAGGGACUUUAGUGCGGGAAAGGACAGAGGCAUGGAGAACAUUUGGUAAGGGGAUCCAAAGAAAAGCAUAUUGGCUUUCUUCUUUCCUCCCAUUGGAUAGAACUCCUGGAGAGCCACUCUUGAAGACUGGGAGUAACCUCAGAGAAGGGGAGAGAAACAUCUCACUUCUCAAGGUGGAACCACAGAAGCAGAGGUCCACCUCAGCACGACCACCAAGGUUGGAACACAGAGAGUGAGUUCAUGGAAACACCUGAUAUGUUACCCUGGAAAUUGAAGGCAUCUGAGAACAGGAAAAUGGAUGCUUGCCUUUCACCUGAAGAUUAUGAAGGUGGCUGGAGCCGCCCAUGGUGGUAGCAAACAGAGGAGGAGGCAAGGGAGAACACUCUAGUUUCCCCAGAGCUGAAGUAACAAUAUGAAUUUCUACAGGCCAAUGCGAGACUACAGAAAGUAACCAGCCUAGAGCUACCCUAUAUAACCUACAUUACUGUCUGGAAUAGAGAAAUCCAAGAGAAACAGAGAGAAGGUGCCCCUCUAGGAGCAGGGGCUGAGUUGGGUCACAGGAAGUCAUCUCUGGAGACACUGGCUGUGCAGUGCCUUCUUUAUUAGGGGCCUCUUAUAGCCCCUUCUUUAUUAGACAGCCUUUACAACCAGAUUACAUGUAAGAUUUCUUACCUUUUUUCUAUAUUCUCCCUUAUUUCACCAUCUACCCUGGAGGAAACAGAUAAAGUAGGAAAGGAGUAAAAAAAAAAAAAAUAAAAAAGAGAUGAUCUAGUAAAAGU
Homo sapiens (human) is the source of this 1604-nucleotide long non-coding RNA. Ensembl annotates it as long intergenic non-protein coding RNA 2053. The record is from Ensembl. NCBI's taxonomy places the organism in Eukaryota, Metazoa, Chordata, Mammalia, Primates, Hominidae.